Molecule: transfer RNA, 89 nt
Filed under: Streptomyces fuscichromogenes
Lineage: Bacteria; Bacillati; Actinomycetota; Actinomycetes; Kitasatosporales; Streptomycetaceae
Description: tRNA-Ser
Rfam family: tRNA
About the family: Transfer RNA (tRNA) molecules are approximately 80 nucleotides in length. Their secondary structure includes four short double-helical elements and three loops (D, anti-codon, and T loops). Further hydrogen bonds mediate the characteristic L-shaped molecular structure. tRNAs have two regions of fundamental functional importance: the anti-codon, which is responsible for specific mRNA codon recognition, and the 3' end, to which the tRNAs corresponding amino acid is attached (by aminoacyl-tRNA synthetases). tRNAs cope with the degeneracy of the genetic code in two manners: having more than one tRNA (with a specific anti-codon) for a particular amino acid; and 'wobble' base-pairing, i.e. permitting non-standard base-pairing at the 3rd anti-codon position.
Source: RNAcentral
GGAGGAUUGGCCGAGUGGUAAGGCACCGGCUUGCUAAGCCGAGAUCGGGUCUGGAAAGCCCGCGCACGUUCGAUCCGUGCAUCCUCCGC